UGAGGUACAGCUCAGUGGUAGAGUGCAUGCUUAACUUGCACAAGGUCCUGGGUUCAAUCCCCAGUACUUCCA
Molecule: transfer RNA, 72 nt
Organism: Camelus ferus (Wild Bactrian camel)
Lineage: Eukaryota; Metazoa; Chordata; Mammalia; Artiodactyla; Camelidae
Rfam family: tRNA
About the family: Transfer RNA (tRNA) molecules are approximately 80 nucleotides in length. Their secondary structure includes four short double-helical elements and three loops (D, anti-codon, and T loops).
Source: Rfam